RNAcentral lists this long non-coding RNA (1062 nucleotides) under Chloebia gouldiae (Gouldian finch). RNAcentral's name for it is "Erythrura gouldiae (Gouldian finch) lncRNA (ENSEGOG00005009300.1)". Lineage: Eukaryota; Metazoa; Chordata; Aves; Passeriformes; Passeridae. The record is from RNAcentral.
CCGGGGGCGAGCGGCGUCGGAACAGGGCUGCGCCCCCUUUGCCGAGCCCCGCGCGCCCCUCUCAAGGCGCCGGGAGCGGCCGCCCUGUGCCGGAGAAUCCCGGCGGGGCGGCGGAGCGGGGCCCUGGCUCUGCCCGCCCCUCCCGCCGCCUCCUUGGAAUGUCAAGCGAGCCGUCCCCGCCCCGCCGCCUCCCCGUGCUUCCCCGCCGUCUCCACUCCCGCACAAGCUCCCGCCUCCCGGCCCCGCUCCGCUGCGGGGAAAUGCAGGAGCACACGGAAGCAUCGGGGCAGAACCGGCGCUGGAGGUGCCCGAGGAGUCUCCCCGGCCGCAGGAGCAGCGGUGCCCGAGCCGUGAGCUGACGGGUGCGCAGCAUGGGCGGCUGCGGCCCCUCUGCCUCGCUGCGUUCCGGUGCCGCGCUGCUGCGGGAGGGAGGAGCGAGAGCUCCGAAGCCCUGAGCAGAGCGCUGGGGAAUGGGAGGCGAGGAAGGCUUGGGCUAAGGAUGGAUUGAAACCGGGCUGCCUGUUCGUGCACAAAGAGGCGUUUGUCAUCCACGCUGCCAAAACGAACACCUGGUACAUCCUAGGUCUGCCUCGUGUUUCGUGUGUUUUUAUUUCCUGUUUAUGUCAUCCUAAAAAGCAAGGACGGAGCAAAUGCGACUGGUUCCCACUGUUGCUGUGUGAAGGCUUUUUACAGGCUCUGCUGUAUUANNNNNNNNNNACCCUCAAGUUUGCUGAAUUAGGGCACUUCCCUGUAUGAGCCGUGGAAUGUCCUGGAAGCUGAUCGAUGCCUUCGUGCUCCUGCUGUGUUCCUUUGGGCUGUGCUUCAGCCUUCUCUCCCUGGGCUCUUGCAGUUGCUGCAUCUCUUGGAUGCCGUGCAGAACGGAAUCGGGCAGCCCAGCCUCAGGUUCACCUUCUCCCUGACCCUCUACGCUGCUGGUAUGGCACAGCAGAUCCUGAAGCCAGAGGAGCACGUGUACAUAAAGGUAAAGAGAUUCCUUCUGUCACACCAGUAUUUGGACCUGAGGAAGGUACCGGGGUUUUUCCAGCUUUUCUACAGUUUUGA